GACGAACGCUGGCGGCGUGCUUAACACAUGCAAGUCACGGGGGCUCGGGGGCAACUUCGAGCAACCGGCGAACGGGUGCGUAACACGUGACCAACCUGCCCUCGUGUGGGGGGAUAGCCGGGCUAACGCCCGGGUAAUACCGCAUACGGUCCUUUGGGGGAGUCCCUGGGGGGAAGAAAGCCUGUGGCAACAUGGGCGCACGGGGAGGGGGUCGCGGCCUAUCAGCUGGGUUGGGGGGUA
Molecule: ribosomal RNA, 240 nt
Filed under: uncultured bacterium
Lineage: Bacteria
Description: partial 16S ribosomal RNA
Rfam family: Bacterial small subunit ribosomal RNA
Source: RNAcentral